GCCAGUGUAGCGUAGUGGUUAAAGAGCAGGACUUGUAAAUGAAAGGUUGCCGGUUCGAUUCCCCACUGGGG
RNAcentral lists this transfer RNA (71 nucleotides) under Megalops atlanticus (tarpon). RNAcentral's name for it is "tRNA-OTHER". Lineage: Eukaryota; Metazoa; Chordata; Actinopteri; Elopiformes; Megalopidae. The record is from RNAcentral.